This 7783-nucleotide long non-coding RNA is filed under the name Amborella trichopoda. Its description in RNAcentral is "long non-coding RNA (ATRI_LNC004579)". Lineage: Eukaryota; Viridiplantae; Streptophyta; Magnoliopsida; Amborellales; Amborellaceae. The record is from RNAcentral.
CCUACUGCACGACUCCCCCAGUCAAGUGCUAUCAUUCUACAUAGAUGAAAAUAAACGUAGUGAGAUAUAAGCCCAAUACGUAGAUCACUACCCUUGCAUUCAUGCCUACACGCAUAUAAAUAAUAACAUGGCCUAUAAUUCAUCAGAAAGCGCACUGGUCUCACAGAGUACGGCCACACAUCAGAGUACAUUUAAUUGUUGUAUAAUGAGUAUAAUAUUCAGUUAACAGGGCAUCACUUGUUUUCAAGAUGGCAUUCACAUUUAUGCAUAUCACAGUUAUAGUGAGAUGUUCAUACAGAAUGCUAAAUUCAGACAAGUAGAACAGAUUUAGUUACUCUCGAAAUAGAAGCCACAUCGAACAGGCUAAGCCAAUCCUGUUUCUUGCGACUGUUACCCUCAUUCAGGAGAGAGGAUAAUGACAAGUGGAGGCCCCACUUCGUAAUAUCCUCACUCACGCACACAUCCUAGGGGCGCUUUAGGGUUUUUGAUAGACUGCGGCCUUGCAAGACACGACCCUCUCCUUACACCCACAGGCGAGAGGGCGUUACACUACCAUUGGAUGACCCAAUGCAUAGUGCCCAUGACAAUUUAGGGGGGGCGACCCUCCCUGUUAUUUACAGUCGCCUCUCGACUCCACUCAUAUCAUAGGAGUCGAGGUACAAUAUACCCAACUACCAAUGGAGGACCCGUUGUACAAUGGUCAUAUCACAUAUAUCAGUCUUAACAGAGUCAAACAUCCAACUACCAAUGGAGGACCCAUUGCGUAGCGGUCAUGGCGCAUAUAACAGAAUCGCAUAUAGCGGAAUCACAGUAUCCACUACCAAUGGAGGACCCAUUGCGUAGCGAUCAUGACACAUAUAACAUAAUCACAUAAUGACAAUGUCAAUGUUACAGAGUGACAUUAUCAACAUCACGUAAUGACAGUAUCAGUAUCACAUAAUGACAAUAUCAAUAUCACAUAAUAACAGUAUCAGUAUCAAAUAAUGGCAGUAUUAAUAUCACAUAAUGACAGUAUUAGUAUCAAAUAAUGACAGUAUUAGUAUCACAUAGUGACAGUAUCAGUAUCACAUAAUGACAGUAUCAGUUUCACAUAAUGACAAUAUCAAUAUCACAUAAUGGCAGUAUCAGUAUUACAUAAUGACAGUAUCAGUAUCACAUAAUGGCAGCUCCUGCAAUUCCAGGCAGUGAUGUUCGCUCACAACUAGGGUCAUAACUUUCGACUUGUUUAGAAUUUGAAGACGGUUCCAAAACCAAUUUUGUACUAGACACACCUAUCUUUCAAAUAAGAGUGGCUUGAAAAUAAUUGGACCUCUUUUGGCCCCUCAAAAGUUCAAGAGAAUGGAGGCAUUCCAUCUGAAAUCUGCUAUAUAAUAAAGGCAGUGACAUGUCUUCAAAAUUAAUUCCAUAUCUCCCAAACAAGAGGGAAUUUCGAAAUGUGCUUAACAUGUGAUUUCAAUCUUACUCAUAAAUAUUUCAAAUGGCAGUGGUUUGGAAGAAAACGAACUUCGCUUGGUUAGUUAAAAACCCAUGAUAACAGAGACAUCAGUUCUCCAUUUUUACUGAAACUGUCCACAGUGAACUACUGGUAUAUUUUGAAGCAUAACUCUACAUGCAUAAAGAAUUUGAGCAAGAUUUGAACAUAAGGAUUUUAAUAGGCACAUAUAUCUUUCCAUUGGUAGUGAUUUGAGGUCAAUUGAGCCUCAUUGGAUAGAUCAAAAGUGGAUUGCAAGAACAUGAAACCUUCUUGAAAAUUUACAGCACAACACAUUACUACUUAAUAUGAUACCCAAAUGGCCUCUAAUUUUGCUAAUUCUUAACUUAAACCUUCCACUUUCCAAUAGAUACACAAGGACACAAAAUUUCAGACUUUUUGUGAACGAACAAGGAGGAUUGAUGCUCAUUGUGGUCAUGCAAAUGCAAAUCACGUGGCUGGAAAAUCUACAGCAUAAAAGUGGGCAUAUCAUCACUCACACUUCUAUUAACAUGCUUAAUUCAUGGCGAACUCACACUUAGAGACCUACAAGGUAGUAAUCCACUUACCAUAAAUGUGUUGUGCCUCCACAUCCUUCUUCCACAACCUUCUUCAACUCCAACAAUGGUUGUCCUAACAGUGAGCUAAAGGGCUUCUCCAAGUUCUCCAAAUUUGUCUUAGAGAGAGAGAUGAGGAGGGAGUGAAAUGGCCUGAGACUGAGAGAAGAGGGCUUAAGUACUUAGUGGCUGGGGUAGCAGUCCAAGUGGUGACAGAUGACGUGCAACUAGACAGGUAGCAUGCAAGACAACAUGCACUCAACAAGUGGCAUUCACUGUUCAUACACGUCAGUGAUACACACGGCGUAGCACAGUCUGUGCUGGCUCUUUCUCUCUCUUCACAGCCGGUGCUGCCUCUCUCUCUCGUCACUACCGGCGGUGCCUUUUUCUCUCGUCUCAGUCGGUGCUGGCUCUCUCUCUCGCUUCACAGCUGGCAUUGGCUCUUUCUCUCUCUUCACAGUCGGCGCUUGCUCUUUCAUUCACCCCCUCUUACUUCACACACUGCGUUACCCCUUCUUAUCAGACUCCUACUGUCGUGCGUGUCUCUAUGGCCUGGAAAACCUUGGUCCUUACACGACCAAACCUGAGACCCAACGGGAUAGACAUAGGACCUAAUGGGUACAGGUAUGGGUCCAACCUUUGGACCUGACGGGUCGGGUUUGGGUCAAGUCCAAAACCUGGACUCGAAUACAUUUGGGUCUGGGUCUAGGUCUAGUCGAACCUUACCCAUUGCCACCCCUAGCCUCACUGCUAUAAUAUGAGAUUGACACCUUAUAUAAGGUUUUUUUUAUAUAAAAACGGGCAGUGAUUUCAUGCAACGGUUGUAUCAUAGUAUAAUGCAACGACACUUCUAGAAAACCAUGUUUGUGGUAUUUGUAUGAUCGAAAAUUUUACACACACUCUCUCUUCAUCUCAAUAAUCAAUCCCAAAAAAAAAAAUCAUUCAAUUUGAACCCUAAAUGAGUCCCCUCCAAAAACGAAUCUAGACCAUGCAUUUGGUGAAUUUCAAGAUCUUAGCUUUUAGAAGCUCAAAAUCAUUUUUUUCUUUUUUAACAUUAUUUAUCUAAUGAUAAGAAAGCCAUCCAAAAAAAUUCGAAAUGAAAAAAUCGUUCUAAGGCCUAGAUCUAAGCAUAUCACCAAAAUGAACAAUCUAUGUUAAUUGGGCUAAAAAAAAUACUUUUUAAGUUGUGUUUUCAAAUUUUUUACAUUUUUGUGAAUGUUCAGUAGAAUGAAAAGAGUGUAUAUUUCAAAUUUUGAAUCAAGCAAAUGGCCGUAACAUAGGUUUUGAAGGUUGGUCCAUCAUAUUACUAUACAACAGUUGCAUGAAAUGAUUGCUCUAUAAAAACUUCUUACUUCUAUAGGAAGUAAUGUGGUCCUAGGGUUGAAAAAGUUACAUAAAAAAAAAAAAAAGGAGAGUAGAAUAAGGUUUUACCAAUGAAAAGCGACCACAUGAGCGAAGUUAUUAUUCCUUAUACAAUAGCAAGUGCAUUAUAAACCAAUGUUUAAAAAGGUGGAUCGGUGACACGAAUCUGUUAGACCCACACCUGUUUCAAAUCAGUGGAUUGGAUUGGAGAAUCGGGCUAAUCGGUAAUUUCUGCCCCAAUUUUUUUAAAAAAAGUCACUAUAGAUCUCUAAAAAUAGUGUAUUUUUAAUUUCUAUAAUAAAUUAGGAGUGGUGUAUUAUGUAUUUUCAUUACUUUGUAAAAAUAGGUGAAUACUGAGGCGUUGUUUUCUUAUCUGGAUAUCUAUAAAAUUAUUAAUUAUAAUAUAGUAUUAUAAUAUUGAUUUAAAAAUAUUAAAAAACACUUCUAUAUUAUAAGAUAAGAAAAAUAAAUUUUCAUAUAAAGUGAAAUUAGUACCACAUCAAAGCAUCAAACAUUUAAUAAUUCGUUUUACUAAUCCAAAAUUAUCACAACCUAACUAACUAUAAUAUUAUAUACUGAAAUUAAAAUUUUUGGUUUGUAUUUUAAGAACAAAUCUAAAAUGUCUUAUAAUAUGAUCUAAUUUUAAAAAAUAUAUUUACAAUUAUAAGAAAAAAUAGUACACUACAUACUUUAUAAUGAAAAUAAAUUGAUAAAUAAAUUAUAAGAUUUGGUUAUCAAUGUAUAAUUAUUAGAAAAAAUUACAUAAAUAUCCGUUUUAGUGUCAGUUAUUACCAAAAUACUGAAUAUUUUCUAUUAUUACUUAUAUCUCGGUUUUUUGGACUUUAUAACAACUUUUUAAAAAAAAAGACGAAACUACUAAUUUUCGGUUUUUUAAAAACCGAAAUCAAACCAAUUUCGGUUUUUGAAAAACCAAAAAUUUUAAAACUUUAAUUUUUCAAGAACCAAAAACUUUAAAAUUUCGGUUUUUCAAAAACCGAAUUUUUCUUGAACUUUUCUAUAAUCCACUGUUUCUUUCCCCUUCUAUCCAUGUUGAUAACUUCUAUCCACACACGAAUUGCUUAUAAAACCUCCCCAUUUUCAUUCUCUUCACAUUUGUAGUUUGUUGAACCAUCAAAUCAAAGAAAGCAUGGCAUUCUUUAUCGUUACACUCGUACUUUCUCUCUCUUAUGCGAUGGCCUGUGAUGGAUGCGUCCAUCGAUUAAAGGUUGCCUACUAAUCCUCCCCUUCUGCAAUUCCAGGAACAAUUUCACGAUUCCAUUGUUUUUCUUCCUUUAAUCGUCAUUUUUUGUAAAUUUUUUAAUGGUUUUUCUUGUGUUGUUGAUUGGAGAUUGUGAUUUUCAGCUGGGCCAUGUCGUUAUGGCUCCAUGGCAUUGCUUUCAAUUGUGGGGUACGUUGCUGCUGCUUUGUGCCGGAAGGAAUUGAUUGUUUUCAGGUGCUUGCUCUACUAUUUUCUCUCUCUAAGACUUCCUUGUUCUUUUUCCUAUCUCUCUAGAUUUUUGAAUUGGGUUUGGGAGUGAGCAGAUUGGUCUGUAUGUAGCAAAGGGGAUCACAUGUUAUCGCGACAGAUUUGGUUUUUCAAAAACUAGAAAAUAAAGAAAUUUGGUUUUUGAAAAAACGGAAAUUUAAAAAAAAAAUUGUUUUUCAAUAACCGAAAUUGACCUGUUUGGUCUUUUAAAAAAAAAUUUGUUAUAAAGUCUAGACAUACGAGUAAUAAGGGAAAGUAUUCCGUAUUUUGAUAAGGGUGAAGUUUCUACAAGGUUACAACCUUAAACAAUCCAAUUAAGGCGCAUCUAAAAUUUUAUCAUAACAUUUAAUUUUGUUGUAAAAAAUUCUUAGUAUUAUCUUAAAAUCUAUUUUCAUACCUAAAUAGAAAUUUUUAAAUUUUAAAAAUCUUGAAAAUGGACAGUCUAGAUAAUGUGUUGCAAGAUGCACAAUUUCUGAGACUCAAACUUUUUUUUUUCAUAUUCAUAUAUCUCGAUGUCGAGAUGAUCGAUUAGAGUGUUUUUUCAACAAUAAAACAAUAUUUUCGAUAGAUUUUUUAGGUGCAUAUGUGAUUCUACAUUUUAAGGUUGCAACUUUAUAUAAACUUUUCCCUUUUGAUAAUAACGGAUACUAGAAUGGAUUUUUUUUCAUAAUUUUCCCUAAUUAUUAAUUAUAAUAUUAUAGUAAACAUUUUUUGUUAUCACUAAAAAUUUCUAUAAUUAGCAUUUUUUACGUUUCUAUAGUUUUUGUUAUAUAUUGAAAUUGAAAAUUUUAAUUUAUAUUUUAAAAUUAUUUAAUUACACAAAUUAGAAUAAAUUUAAGUUUUUUUAUAAUAUCAUCUAAUUAAAAAAAAUUAUUUACAACUCUAAUAAAAAAUAAUAUAUUACAUAAUGUAUAAUACAAAUAAAUUAAUAAAUACGAUACAAGAGAGGGAAUGUUAAUGGAGUGGAGUUUAGAGAGAGAGAGAAACCCAAAGUUUUUUUUGGACCAAUUAAAGUUUUUUUUUUUGGCCUACUUAGCAAAAUUUUAAAUCGACAUACAAGUUAAGAUGAAAAAGGAUGCUUACUAUGAAUCUCCCUUUACUGUAAUAUUUUUCUCCCUUUAUUUUUUGGACAGGGUUUAUGAGUUCACAGACUCAAAUCUAGAAAUGCGUGCCCCUUAAUAAUUUAUUUUUAAAAUAGAAUUUGAUCUUAAGUUUUUAAAAAAUAUAUAAUCUUUAACAUGGAGAUUAUUAAUAUAUAAAAACAAAUAAAUUUUAAAACUAAAAAUAAUAGUUUUUUGUUAAAAUAUUUGAACUGUUGAUUUUACUUUUUUUUUGAAUAAUUAUUAUUUAAGAGACCCGGUGUUGGUAGACGGUGUAGAUUUCCAAAACUCUUAUAAUAAGAUAUGCAGAUUUGGACGCACCAAACAACUUUUUUUUAUUAUUUUUUUAAAUUUUUACACAUCGCAGGGCAUUAAGACAUCAUAUGAUAGCGAGUAUCUCCCAUCAUGAAUGCACAUCGAGGGGUGGAGUUGGCAUACGGAUGCAUCCGUAGCAAUAAAGGUAAGGUUCACCUUCAAAUUUUAUCAUGGUAUAUAAUUUUGAUGUAAAAUGUUCUUAAGAUUAUCUCAAAAUCUAUUUUUAUAUCUAAUUAUAAAAUUUUAAGUUUUAAAAAUAGUUAAAAUCAUGUAAAUCUAUAAACAUAUGAAAAUCUUGAAUAUGGAUGGUGUAGAUAAUAUGUUGUAAAAAGCACUAUUUUUUAGACUUAAAAAUCUUUUUAUUUUUCAUGAUUAUAUAUCUCGGAGAUGAUCAAUCAAAAGGCUUUUCAUCAUUAAAACUACAUUGUCCCAUAGAUAUUUGAGGUGCAUCCGUAGUUCUACAUUAUAAGGUUGCAUCCUUAUAUAAAUUUUUUCCCACAUCGAGGGCCAAAAUGUGGGCACUUUUUAGAAAUGGACAGAGUACCAAAAACUACACGAAAAUGCUGCAACCCUCUCUCUCUCUCCACCACUCUUCCUACCAACAACGCGCUUUUUGUCUCUGUUUAGUACUAUACCCACGUUGUUUUUUUGAACGGUUAGUAUAUUCCCACGUAUAUGGCAUGGCGCCAGUGUCAUUUGGGAUGGUUACCGUCAUGUACGAUAGGAAACAGUACGUGUCAAAGAGCGGGGUUACUGACUUUUGCAUUGGGGUUUCUUUGGAUCCACGGAAAAAGAUUAUGGAAAAAAUUAUUUGUAUUUUUUAUAAAAUAGAUUUUUGUUGUUUAGAUGGUAUAUGGAUGCAUAAUAUUUUCAUGCAUUGUUUUUUUGUUUUAUUAUUAUUUACUUUUUGCCGUUAAAUGCUUUUGAUUGUAUUCUUCAUCAUAAUGUCUUUUUUUUUUUAUUAAAUUUGAUAUAUUUCUCUUUAAAAAUUUUCAAGUAGUUUCUUUUUAUAAAGUUCUAAAAAUUUCAUGUACUUUCUCUCUCAAAAAUUUGAUAGUGUUUCACUAUCUAAAAUUUGAUAGAGUUUCACUCUCUAAAACUUUAAUAUAUUGCUCUCUAAAACUUAAAAUAUGACGUAGUUUCUCUCUCUAAAUUUUUUGAGAUAGUUUCUAUCUCUAAAAAAAUUUAGGUAGUUUUAUAGAAAUAAGCUAUAGACUUACAGAUUUAAAAAACUAAAAAAUAUAUAUAAAUCUAUAUCAGAUGGUAAUUCAUGAUUAUCGAAAAACAAGAAUGCAAAUUAACAGAUUUGAACGUACCUGCUAUAAAGAAACGGAUUUGAUCUCUAAAAGGGUGAACCGGUCUUCACAUCUUUUCUCCUCCAAACUUGAUGGGAACUUUCUUAUUGAGAAUAAGCAAGAGAUGAGACCAUCACAUUAUUUUUCUUUUGUUAUUCUUAACCCAUCAUAAAGAGUUUAUCUUUAAGAGAGAGUGG